Molecule: RNA transcript, 1851 nt
Organism: Folsomia candida
Lineage: Eukaryota; Metazoa; Arthropoda; Collembola; Entomobryomorpha; Isotomidae
Exons: 5
Source: RefSeq, a predicted model, not a curated record
AAGUCGGUGUCAGUUUGCGGUGGUGGUUUGGUUGGUUGGAUGGAGGAAGAGAGUUCUGCUGCCAAGACAGGCAGAUAAAUAAAUUUUCUGUGAUCCGUUAUUUAGAAAUUAAUUGAUUGAUUAAUUAAUUUACUACUGUAAAUAUCAUGUCAAUCAGUAAUUAAUUAAUUAAUUGUAGUAUAAUAGUCAUUAGUAAGGUGUAAGGGUAGUAGAUCGCCGGCCAAAAUCAACAAGAGUUCAAAUUUACUGUGUUCAAAACUCUGUGAUCUCGCUUGAUGAUCUCUGAUAAAUAAUUGAAAUAGGAACUUUAAAUAAAUAAAUUAAAAUAAAUUUAUAAAUAUGGAGAAGAGAGGAAGUGGUGAAAUGAAUAUGUCUGGGGUGUCGGAAUCUGGAGGGUUAUCUUCGCCACGAGAGGGGGAGGAAGAGGAGGAAGAUUGUUCGUCUCCCUCAGUUCCGCCGGUCAAGCGGAGGAAGAGCGAGAUGACGGUGGUGGUGGAGGAAGAACAAGAAGAUAACGUCGUGUACAUGUCGACGCCGAUGUCUUAUCGAAGCAAUUCAUCGAUGGCGAGCAGCAGUGCGGGGCGCAGUGAUGUGGGGAUGAUGGGUAGUACGGAGAGAGUGAACCCCUUCGAACCAUUUUGUCUCCGUAAUUUGAAAUCGUCUAUCUUGUCACCGUCUGUCUUCCUGACGUCCACCCCCACGACGCCCAAGGAAUUCCAAGGCUGGACGAUCAACGAAAUGGCGGAAUUGUUCCCAAAGUCAUUAGAAGAUUCGCCAUCAUCUCAUACCAAUCCGUACCCUGUGGAUGCCCUACAAGAAGCCCAGGCUCAGCAAGAUAUCACCGAUUUCUUCAACGGGGGACCAAUCGCUCCCACACCAGAUGGCAUUGUUCGCAACCCAACCGCAAAUCUGUUGGGUUCGACACCUCCGGGACCACGACGACGACGUCAAAGUUGUGCGGCAAUUUCGAUGAACAGUUGGACGAAUACGGUCCUCUCCCUGCCACCGGGUGACCUGCCCGAACAAGUCGCGGCCGUGUUGGGACCAUACUUCAAUAUGGUUGAUUGCUGUUCAGAAACGUUAUCAAAGUCACUUCCAAAUAAUGACGAGCAUCUCUGGGAUUUUGAAGUAGAUGAAAGUUCUCAAACGUCAUCGAAAUCGUUUCGGUCUUUUCAAAUGAAUGCGAGGCGACGACUCGACUUGUCUUUUGCAGAUGCUGAGAAUUCACCUCCACCACGGUACCCAAUUGAAGACCCUCUUGGACCAAUGCGUCUCCUUGCAUCCCCACUUCGCACCAAGAAUUCCGACGAGUCAUCCUCCUUCUGCACUCCAGACAAUGUCAACGUCUCCAAGUCCGCAUACUUUGGCGCUGGACGGCGGGACUUCUGCACCCCGACGUCCCGUGAUGGCAACGACGAUCUGGAGGACGAGGGCGGCUGUGGAUCGGACGGGUGGCGGAGGCGACGCUCAAUCCUGUCAUCACCAGACAUCACACCAAUUCGUGGGGUGGAAGAGAAAUGAAGGCAAGGUUUUUGCACUUGGGGGGAAGGGGUUACUGGGGGAUUAACUCGAUGCAAGUUGUUACAAAAACCUUGAAAUGCGUGGAAUAUUAUGAUCGGGGAUGCAAUCAAUCUUUGUUAUCAAGUAUUUUUAUAAUAUCUAUUUUAAAAAAACUUGGUUGAAUGUUAAACUUAAAUUAUUAUGAGCCAUAUAUCAUCACAUGAAUGUUAAAUUAAUAUGAAUGAAAUGAACCAUGUCAUUGUUCAGAAGCAAUUUAUAUAUGAAUGCGUGUAGUAGAAAUUCGAAAAGUUGAAUAUAUUUGAACAAUAUAUUUUGCAUAAUUACAUUAAA